CGUAGGUGAACCUGCGGAAGGAUCAUUGUCSA
This 32-nucleotide ribosomal RNA is filed under the name Erica tetralix. Its description in RNAcentral is "partial 18S ribosomal RNA". The record is from RNAcentral. Lineage: Eukaryota; Viridiplantae; Streptophyta; Magnoliopsida; Ericales; Ericaceae.